Molecule: ribosomal RNA, 495 nt
Filed under: uncultured bacterium
Lineage: Bacteria
Description: partial 16S ribosomal RNA
Rfam family: Bacterial small subunit ribosomal RNA
Source: RNAcentral
GACGAACGCUGGCGGCGUGCCUAAUACAUGCAAGUUGAGCGCUGAAGGUUGGUACUUGUACCAACUGGAUGAGCAGCGAACGGGUGAGUAACGCGUGGGGAAUCUGCCUUUGAGCGGGGGACAACAUUUGGAAACGAAUGCUAAUACCGCAUAAAAACUUUAAACACAAGUUUUAAGUUUGAAAGAUGCAAUUGCAUCACUCAAAGAUGAUCCCGCGUUGUAUUAGCUAGUUGGUGAGGUAAAGGCUCACCAAGGCGAUGAUACAUAGCCGACCUGAGGGGGGGCUCCGCCCCUUUGGGCCUGGGCCGCGCCCCAACCCCCCCCGGGGGGCCGCAGUGGGAACUCUUCGGAAUUGGCCGAAAUUUUGCCCGACCAACGCCGCGGGGGUGAAGAAGUUUUUCGGCUCGUAAACCCCUUUUGGUGGAAAAGACCGUUGGUGAGGGUGGAAAGCCCAUCAGGUGCCGGACCCCCCCCAAAAAGGGACGGCACCCUCCG